RNAcentral lists this ribosomal RNA (823 nucleotides) under Zelandonota sp. OSUC 332134. Its description in RNAcentral is "partial 28S ribosomal RNA". It matches the Rfam family "Eukaryotic large subunit ribosomal RNA", at positions 397 to 948 of the family's 3401-position model. The record is from RNAcentral. Lineage: Eukaryota; Metazoa; Arthropoda; Insecta; Hymenoptera; Scelionidae.
ACGUGAAACCGUUCAGGGGUAAACCAGAAACCCGAAAGAUCGAAUGGGGAGAUUCAUCGUCAGCGGGGUUGGCUUUCGCGCGGGUGCGAUGCUCGGUCGGUGGCUUUCGGGUCGUCGAUCGUUGCACGCAUUCGCGUGGAUGUGUCCGGCCACGUCGGCGUGCACUUCUCCCCUAGUAGAACGUCGCGACCCGCUGGGUGUUGGUCUACGGGCCGUGUCUUUAGACUGUCGCGAGCGCUUCGGCGUUCGUUGGCAGAGGCGCGGAUUCCCGACCAACUGCCCGGCGGUACACGCACGGUAUCGAGCCGCACAAUCGAACUGCGUUCCGACCCGUCGCAAGCUCGCUCAUGCCCUUUGGAGGUGCGGACCCAGUGCCGUCCCCGAAGCUGAGCAGUUGCUGGCCGACGGUGCUCUCGAACAGGCUCACACACUUUGAAUUUGUAUUCACGGUACCGGUCGGCGACGCUAUUGCUUUGGGUACUUUCAGGACCCGUCUUGAAACACGGACCAAGGAGUCUAACAUGUGCGCGAGUCAUUGGGAUCAUUUGAAACCCAAAGGCGCAUUGAAAGAGAAGGUCGGCCUCGCGCCGACCGAGGGAGGAUGGGCCGCGUCUCGAUGCGGCCCCGCACUCCCGGGGCGUCUCGUACUCAUUGCGAGUUGAGGCGCACCCAGAGCGUACACGUUGGGACCCGAAAGAUGGUGAACUAUGCCUGGUCAGGACGAAGUCAGGGGAAACCCUGAUGGAGGUCCGUAGCGAUUCUGACGUGCAAAUCGAUCGUCGGAACUGGGUAUAGGGGCGAAAGACUAAUCGAACCAUCUAGU